CCUACGGGAGGCAGCAGUGAGGAAUAUUGGUCAAUGGACGCAAGUCUGAACCAGCCAUGCCGCGUGCAGGAAGACGGCUCUAUGAGUUGUAAACUGCUUUUGUACGAGGGUAAACGCAGAUACGCGUAUCUGUCUGACAGUAUCGUACGAAUAAGGAUCGGCUAACUCCGUGCCAGCAGCCGCGGUAAUACGGAGGAUUCAAGCGUUAUCCGGAUUUAUUGGGUUUAAAGGGUGCGUAGGCGGUCGGAUAAGUUAGAGGUUAAAUCCCGAGGCUCAACCUCGGAAUUGCCUCUGAUACUGUUCGGCUAGAGAGUAGUUGCGGUAGGCGGAAUGUAUGGUGUAGCGGUGAGAUGCUUAGAGAUCAUACAGAACACCGAUUGCGAAGGCAGCUUACCAAGCUACUUCUGACGUUGAGGCACGAAAGCGUGGGGAGCAAACAGGAUUAGAUACCCCAGUAGUC
RNAcentral lists this ribosomal RNA (460 nucleotides) under uncultured bacterium. Its description in RNAcentral is "partial 16S ribosomal RNA". It matches the Rfam family "Bacterial small subunit ribosomal RNA", at positions 338 to 795 of the family's 1533-position model. The record is from RNAcentral.